Molecule: long non-coding RNA, 544 nt
Organism: Schistocerca gregaria
Lineage: Eukaryota; Metazoa; Arthropoda; Insecta; Orthoptera; Acrididae
Exons: 3
Source: RefSeq, a predicted model, not a curated record
CCAGGUCGAAAACAAUUUCUCUGGUUUCUUACCUUCUGGUAAGGAGACAUAGGAGUAAAUCUGCAUAAGCCCGGUGGCAAAUUCCCAGACAUGGAUGCAUGUGCGAAGGACUUUCGCGUCGUACUCCUGAACAACACAAAGCUCUGGAAUAUCAUAUAAUCUGAUACACUGUGUAGGCCACAACGGAAGCGACUGCACACACUUCCAUUGAGUCACAUGAUGGUACAACGUCGACUGCACACCAACCUUCGCAGCGCAGCGAAACGGCAUCAUGAAGGCGCUGACCCGCGCGUCAGUGGGAAGAACGGGCAGCGCCACACCUUCAGGACAAGAGUUCAGCGCCGCCUGCCAGCGCUGACCUAGCAAGCCGCCCAUCGCUGUUCGGCCCCAGUUCGGUCGUAGAUUUCGAGAGCAUCAGUACUGAGUAAUAGAAAGGUCCUUAGCCUGCGUUCUGCGAAUAGUUAUUCUGUAUAAAAGUGCUUGCAUGUAGGAACCACAGGAAGCCACCUAGAAAUUAUGUUAUGUUUCAUUCCUUGUUAGAAAU